This 253-nucleotide ribosomal RNA is filed under the name uncultured bacterium. RNAcentral describes it as "partial 16S ribosomal RNA". It matches the Rfam family "Bacterial small subunit ribosomal RNA", at positions 524 to 776 of the family's 1533-position model. The record is from RNAcentral.
UACGAAGGGGGCUAGCGUUGCUCGGAAUUACUGGGCGUAAAGCGCACGUAGGCGGCUUUCUAAGUCGGGGGUGAAAUCCUGGAGCUCAACUCCAGAACUGCCUUCGAUACUGGAAAGCUCGAGUCCGGGAGAGGUGAGUGGAACUGCGAGUGUAGAGGUGAAAUUCGUAGAUAUUCGCAGGAACACCAGUGGCGAAGGCGACUCGCUGGUCUUUUGCUGACGCUGAGACGCGAAAGCGUGGGGAGCAAACAGG